RNAcentral lists this unclassified non-coding RNA (257 nucleotides) under Hevea brasiliensis (rubber tree). The record is from RNAcentral. Lineage: Eukaryota; Viridiplantae; Streptophyta; Magnoliopsida; Malpighiales; Euphorbiaceae.
GAAUUUUCUGGGGUCGGAUACUGGUUCAAGUCAGGUUUCUCUUGAACUACUCGGUUGGAGUUCUUUUCUGAUGCAUGGAGGCCCGUUUGCUGUAGGGCGUCCACCUGAGCCCCAACUUCUGUGGCUUUCUUGCGUAUAGAAGCAGCGGACAUGUCCCGUAGGUCGUCCUGGUGGUAUAUUAAAUCGGGGAAAUUAAGCCUGGCGGAAGGACCUCGAAGGUAGAAAACAGCGGUGUCGUAGGCACGCGCGGCGGCGAU